Molecule: long non-coding RNA, 820 nt
Filed under: Anas platyrhynchos (mallard)
Lineage: Eukaryota; Metazoa; Chordata; Aves; Anseriformes; Anatidae
Description: lncRNA (ENSAPLG00020010957.1)
Source: RNAcentral
GCGGGGGAGGGAAAGGGAGGGAGGGGGGGGCGGGCGUCGGGACAUUUAAACGGCGCGGAGCGGCCGUCUGACCCUUUGCUGCGCUAUGGAUCCUCAGGGGCACGUGCGAAGCACUUCUGCCCAAGGUGCCAAGGAAGGAGUAAGCAAGCCCGCCGUGCCGCAGAAGAACGCGUACGCUCGGCUUGUGCAGAAGCACCACAGCGGCCGAUUCCGGUCCUACAUGAAUCACGUCGCACAGAAAAUGCAGCUGGAAGACGGCACCUGCAACGACCUCAGCUUGGACCUGGACCCACCCCUGAGGAGAGGACUGGCGAAGGAGAACAUGACCAGGAACGGGUUGAAAGCGCACAGCUAUUCACCAGGCAGAGCGCCUCACCUGGAACAGCCCGUGCCUGGGGGAUUGGAGAACGAGAAAUCCGUCCUCAACAGGUGUUCUCAUCGAAAAAAUGCCAACGUUAACCUAGAAGGAGACUUGGAGGUGGAGGAAGACUACAACGUGCACCAGCGUGGAGCUGCAGGUGAUUUGUUAAACGCGAGUGAUGCCCCGGGUGGGAGAGCAUCGACCGGCCCGAGGCACGGCGCAGCUCUGCAGAGGUCAUCUGGUUCUGACGAGAAGGAUGAGGAGGACACGUGGAGAAAGAAACACAAGAAACGAGGCAGGUGUCCUGCCAACACGGACCCGGCAGCUGGGCACUCAGUGACUGAGCAGUUUGGCGGGGAUGUGCUGGCAGCAAAUGCCAGGAAAAGCAGUCACUUGUCUGCAGGCCACGUCCACGGUGCAGAAAAGAGAGGGUUUGCAAGGACCAGGAAACAACUCUGA